CUCGGUCCUUGGAGCGGUGGGGAUCAUACCUGUUCCCAUCCCGAACACAGUAGUCAAGCCCACCAGCGCCGAAGAUACUCGGGACGUCGGUCCCCGGGAAAAUAGGUCAGGGCCGGGA
RNAcentral lists this ribosomal RNA (118 nucleotides) under Chloroflexota bacterium. Lineage: Bacteria; Bacillati; Chloroflexota. The record is from RNAcentral.